AUGCGGCCGGCCGUGACGCACGACGACCUGUCCCUCCGCAAGGCGCAGGAGCGCCGGGCGGGGCGCUCCGGCAGCCAGAUCGCCGUCGCCCUCGUCGCGCUCUCCGUGCUCUGCGGCCUCGUCAGCUUCAUCCUCUGCCUCGCCGCCGAGGGCUCGCGCUCCGAGGUGUCCAACUACCUGAUGACCGUGGCCGGGAGCGAGGCGCAGGUGGAGCUGUGCUUCUACAACGGCAGCGGCCGCUCGGCGCUCGCCUUCUCCAUCGGCGCCUUCCUGCUGCUGGCCGUCGCCAUGUUCGCCGUGCACGGCUACAUGCUGCUCGCCGUCGCUUCGCCGGACUCCGCCGCCGCUGGCCUCGCCGUCGCCGAGGACCACCCCCGCGUGUCCUCCGCCACCAACACCCUCACCUGGCAAACCUGCUGCCUCUUCUUCGUCACGUGGAUUUGCUUCGGGCUCGCGGAGGUGCUGCUCAUGAUCGGGAUCGGGGUGGAGUCCGGCCACGUCAGCGACUGGCGGAGGCCGCGGCAGGUGUGCCACCGGGUGCGCCCGGGGAUGUUCGCGGCGGCGGGGAUACUGGGGCUCAUCACCGUCGUCGUUGGCUUCGUCGUCUACGUGACCGCGGUGCACACGCAGAAGCUGCUGAGGCAGCACGGCGGCGGCCACUACCCGCCGCACCCCGGCAGCGCCCCGUACCCCAGCGUCCAGCAGCACCACCUGCAGCCGCCCGUGUCGUACCCACCACACCCGGCCCCGCACCCACACCCUCAUCCGGCGCCGAAUGCGCCGGAGAUUACGGCGGCCGCGUGCCAGGUGCAGUCCAGCAACGCGUGGUGCAUCACCAAGGACAAGGAGUACACCGAUGUUUGA
RNAcentral lists this ribosomal RNA (864 nucleotides) under Triticum aestivum (bread wheat). RNAcentral describes it as "partial small subunit ribosomal RNA". The record is from RNAcentral. Lineage: Eukaryota; Viridiplantae; Streptophyta; Magnoliopsida; Poales; Poaceae.